This 1189-nucleotide ribosomal RNA is filed under the name Aspergillus sp. Its description in RNAcentral is "partial 28S ribosomal RNA". The stretch from base 552 to 1189 matches the Rfam family "Eukaryotic large subunit ribosomal RNA", at positions 1 to 654 of the family's 3401-position model. The record is from RNAcentral. Lineage: Eukaryota; Fungi; Ascomycota; Eurotiomycetes; Eurotiales; Aspergillaceae.
UGUUACCAAGGUUUCCGUAGGUGAACCUGGGGAAGGAUCAUUACCGAGGUUAAGGUUCCUAGCGAGCCCAACCUUCCCACCCCGUGUUUACUGACCUUAGUUGCUUCGCGGGCCCGCCAUUCAUGGCCGCCGGGGGCUUUCAGCCCCGGGCCCGCGCCCGCCGGAGACACCACGAACUUUGUCUGAUCUAGUGAAGUCUGAGUUGAUUGUAUCGCAAUCAGUUAAAACUUUCAACAAUGGAUCUCUUGGUUCCGGCAUCGAUGAAGAACGCAGCGAAAUGCGAUAACUAGUGUGAAUUGCAGAAUUCCGUGAAUCAUCGAGUCUUUGAACGCACAUUGCGCCCCCUGGUAUUCCGGGGGGCAUGCCUGUCCGAGCGUCAUUGCUGCCCAUCAAGCACGGCUUGUGUGUUGGGUCGUCGUCCCCUCUCCGGGGGGGACGGGCCCCAAAGGCAGCGGCGGCACCGCGUCCGAUCCUCGAGCGUAUGGGGCUUUGUCACCCGCUCUGUAGGCCCGGCCGGCGCUUGCCGAACGCAAAUCAAUCUUUUUCCAGGUUGACCUCGGAUCAGGUAGGGAUACCCGCUGAACUUAAGCAUAUCAAUAAGCGGAGGAAAAGAAACCAACCGGGAUUGCCUCAGUAACGGCGAGUGAAGCGGCAAGAGCUCAAAUUUGAAAGCUGGCUCCUUCGGGGUCCGCAUUGUAAUUUGCAGAGGAUGCUUCGGGUGCGGCCCCUGUCUAAGUGCCCUGGAACGGGCCGUCAGAGAGGGUGAGAAUCCCGUCUGGGAUGGGGUGUCCGCGCCCGUGUGAAGCUCCUUCGACGAGUCGAGUUGUUUGGGAAUGCAGCUCUAAAUGGGUGGUAAAUUUCAUCUAAAGCUAAAUACUGGCCGGAGACCGAUAGCGCACAAGUAGAGUGAUCGAAAGAUGAAAAGCACUUUGAAAAGAGAGUUAAAAAGCACGUGAAAUUGUUGAAAGGGAAGCGCUUGCGACCAGACUCGCCUCCAGGGUUCAGCCGGCAUUCGUGCCGGUGUACUUCCCUGGGGGCGGGCCAGCGUCGGUUUGGGCGGCCGGUCAAAGGCUCCCGGAAUGUAGUGCCCUCCGGGGCACCUUAUAGCCGGGAGUGCAAUGCGGCCAGCCUGGACCGAGGAACGCGCUUCGGCACGGACGCUGGCAUAAUGGUCGUAAACGACCCGUCU